RNAcentral lists this long non-coding RNA (636 nucleotides) under Sorghum bicolor (sorghum). RNAcentral's name for it is "long non-coding RNA (SBIC_LNC000562)". Lineage: Eukaryota; Viridiplantae; Streptophyta; Magnoliopsida; Poales; Poaceae. The record is from RNAcentral.
CCACAUCAUAAAAAAUACUUAUGUUAUGUGAUAACUUAUUAAUACAAAUAAACUAUGAUAAAACUCCAACAGAGACUACUCUUAGUAGCUCAGAAAAUCUGGAAGCAGUAGAACAACUACUACAUCUUUAAUUAACGUCUCUAAUCCAAUCAUCAUGUCAGUGUUGUGGGCUAUGUAUGAGAGAUAAGUCAUGACUAAUAAAUUUAUUGUGAGAAAAAAACACCGCUGAAUAUUCAACAGAUAAGCAACCGAACAAGCUUGUUUGAAGGAGCGCCUGGACUAGAGCUCUAGCCUACGCAGGUGCAUCUAACCCUAGCAAAUUUUAAAAUAUACGCCUGGGAUUAAUGCUUGGACCAAGCAAGAUUGCAUCGAAGCAGCGCCUAUAUGGUGUCUACUGACAACGAAACAAACCUUAUGUUCGUGGAUAAAUCGGAUUCCCAUAUAUGCAUUAUUAACAUUAUUAAUAUAAGUAAACUAUUAGUACUAGUAUUUGCGUUAUACGCAUUAAAUCAAAAACAUUUUGCAUAGAAGAAAAAUGGGCGUCCAUAUGUUUCUUCUUGGGUCCACCCCUGUGACGGCGACACUGGAGAUAGCUAAGUUUUUAUCCGAGAGAAGGCUGCAAACUAUAAAGGUCCC